Molecule: ribosomal RNA, 433 nt
Filed under: uncultured bacterium
Lineage: Bacteria
Description: partial 16S ribosomal RNA
Rfam family: Bacterial small subunit ribosomal RNA
Source: RNAcentral
AACGAACGCUGGCGGCAUGCCUAACACAUGCAAGUCGAACGAGACCAUCGGGUCUAGUGGCGCACGGGUGCGUAACGCGUGGGAACCUGCCCUUAGGUUCGGAAUAACUCCCCGAAAGGGGUGCUAAUACCGGAUAAUGUCUUCGGACCAAAGAUUUAUCGCCUUUGGAUGGGCCCGCGUUGGAUUAGCUAGUUGGUAGGGUAAAAGCCUACCAAGGCGACGAUCCAUAGCUGGUCUGAGAGGAUGAUCAGCCACACUGGGACUGAGACACGGCCCAGACUCCUACGGGAGGCAGCAGUGGGGAAUAUUGGACAAUGGGAGAAAGCCUGAUCCAGCAAUGCCGAGUGAGUGAUGAAGGACUUAGGGUUGUAAAGCUCUUUUACCCGGGAUGAUAAUGACAGUACCGGGAGAAUAAGCUCCGGCUAACUCCGUG